Molecule: ribosomal RNA, 612 nt
Filed under: Pseudoxanthomonas sp. Ri2Ps_5149
Lineage: Bacteria; Pseudomonadati; Pseudomonadota; Gammaproteobacteria; Lysobacterales; Lysobacteraceae
Description: bacterial SSU rRNA
Rfam family: Bacterial small subunit ribosomal RNA
Source: RNAcentral
GGUGAAGAAGGCUUCCGGGUUGUAAAGCCCUCUUGUUGGGAAAGAAAAGCACCGGUUAAUACCCGGGUGUUCUGACGGUACCCAAAGAAUAAGCACCGGCUAACUUCGUGCCAGCAGCCGCGGUAAUACGAAGGGUGCAAGCGUUACUCGGAAUUACUGGGCGUAAAGCGUGCGUAGGUGGUUGUUUAAGUCCGUUGUGAAAGCCCUGGGCUCAACCUGGGAAUUGCAGUGGAUACUGGGCAACUUGAGUGUGGUAGAGGAUAGUGGAAAUUCCGGUGUAGCAGUGAAAUGCGUAGAGAUCGGAAGGAACAUCUGUGGCGAAGGCGACUAUCUGGGCCAACACUGACACUGAGGCACGAAAGCGUGGGGAGCAAACAGGAUUAGAUACCCUGGUAGUCCACGCCCUAAACGAUGCGAACUGGAUGUUGGGUUCAACUUGGAACCCAGUAUCGAAGCUAACGCGUUAAGUUCGCCGCCUGGGGAGUACGGUCGCAAGACUGAAACUCAAAGGAAUUGACGGGGGCCCGCACAAGCGGUGGAGUAUGUGGUUUAAUUCGAUGCAACGCGAAGAACCUUACCUGGUCUUGACAUCCUACGGAACUUUCUAGAGAU